Long non-coding RNA from Oncorhynchus keta (chum salmon), 429 nucleotides. RefSeq lists it as uncharacterized. The transcript is spliced from 3 exons. The record is from RefSeq and is a predicted model, not a curated record. NCBI's taxonomy places the organism in Eukaryota, Metazoa, Chordata, Actinopteri, Salmoniformes, Salmonidae.
AGUAACAAGCCUCUCUCCUGAUGAUGAACUUCCCUGGACUAUCAGGAGUCAGUAACAAGCCUCUCUCCUGAUGAUGAACUUCCCUGGACUAUCAGGAGUCAGUAACAAGCCUCUCUCCUGAUGAUGAACUUCCCUGGACUAUCAGGAGUCAGUAACAAGCCUCUCUCCUGAUGAUGAACUUCCCUGGACUAUCAGGCGUCAGUAACAAGCCUCUCUCCUGAUGAUUAACUUCACUGGACUAUCAGGUGUCAGUAACAAGCCUCUCUCCUGAUGAUGAACUUCCCUGGACUAUCAGGAGUCAGUAACAAGCCUCUCUCCUGAUGAUGAACUUCCCUGGACUAUCAGGUGUCAGUAACAAGCCUCUCUCCUGAUGAUGAACUUCCCUGGACUAUCAGGAGUCAGUAACAAGCCUCUCUCCUGAUGAUGAAC